Molecule: long non-coding RNA, 1057 nt
Filed under: Sipha flava (yellow sugarcane aphid)
Lineage: Eukaryota; Metazoa; Arthropoda; Insecta; Hemiptera; Aphididae
Description: uncharacterized LOC112690554, transcript variant X2
Source: RNAcentral
UUCAUAGAAAAGAGAUUAUUGUUUUUAUUCUUUUAAACUCAUUUAAAUAUUCUAUGGUUCAUUGUAAAGUUAUCAUAAGACAAAGAUUGUUUCUAUUUUGGUAGUUUGUAUAAUAUAAUAUGUCAACAAAAUGUUAAUAGAUAAUUGGUUUUCACAUUUAUCUUUGUUUCGCGACUUUAUUAUCUGAGAUGCAAAAUUUGUGUUUUCUCAUAUUAUUUCAACCUUUUUGGAAUGAUUUGAUUGGUGGUGUACUUCAGAUUAAAAUCUGUACUAAAAAUGAUACUGGUGACAUGAAUAAAUCUAUUAAUCCAUAUGAUGAUAUUUAUAUACUACAAAUCUCAAAUCUAUCCAUGAUCUACGGACAUCAAUUCAAAGUAUAAAUGAGGAAUGUGUAAUCUAACUUAUUAAUACAAUUGUUGUACUCAAAAUUGAUAUCCACAAAAUAUAGAGCAUAUAGGAGAUUGUAGAAAUAAUUGAAUAAGAAGAAACGCCUCUGUGAUCAUUAGUAAUUUAAUUUUUUGGAUGAUCCUGUGGCAUCCCAUGUAUGUAGAUAACAAUAAUACCAUAAUCACCCUGUAUUGCUUAUAGGUAUGCAUGAGUUUACAACGAUACAUAUCAUAAAUUAACUCUUAUGAAUAUUAAAAACCACAUCUAUCAAACAUCAUACACUACACAAAGUUCAAACAAGGAAACACAUAAAUAAUUAUUGAUUGUUAAAAUAACCACAUUCAUAUUUUCACACAAAUGUCAUCUAACAAGGAAAGAUUAUUCAAAUAAUCACAUUUGUGAGAUAAAUUGAACUGUAUGUACACAUCAUCACAUUAUACACACACACACACUUACAUCCAUCGGAUAUAAAAUGUAUCCAAAAACAAGGACAAAUCAGACGAGUUCUUGCUAUAUGACACUGAGCACUUUCGUGCUAGUGUAUGUCACAGUUUGGAGUUAGAAUUAUUUUAAUAGUUUAAUUGUCAGAACUUAGAAUUUUAACAGCUAAUUUAAUUUAUUGUACUUAGAAUAAUUUUAAAAGUUUAAUAAACCAACCAAUCAUAGAGUA